This 249-nucleotide long non-coding RNA is filed under the name Mytilus galloprovincialis (Mediterranean mussel). Lineage: Eukaryota; Metazoa; Mollusca; Bivalvia; Mytilida; Mytilidae. The record is from RNAcentral.
UCGGCUCCUUAGUUAAAAUAUAACAAUAACAAGUAUUUGAUUGCUAUGCUAUUUACAUGUUAUCUUUAAAAAAAACAACCUUUUAAAUCUAAUAAUUUAAUCAGAUUAUAAAAGAGCUUACAAGUAUACAUACAAGUGCAAAUUUUAUAUCCUGCAUCCGUGAUCAAUCCAGCGGAGAUAGAAACAAUUGGUAAGAGUGGUGUAUUAAAGAAAAUUAUAAACACACAUUUCUUCGUUUAUUGUCAAAAU